Molecule: ribosomal RNA, 683 nt
Filed under: Salmonella enterica
Lineage: Bacteria; Pseudomonadati; Pseudomonadota; Gammaproteobacteria; Enterobacterales; Enterobacteriaceae
Description: partial 23S ribosomal RNA
Rfam family: Bacterial large subunit ribosomal RNA
Source: RNAcentral
CGGACAGUGUCUGGUGGGUAGUUUGACUGGGGCGGUCUCCUCCUAAAGAGUAACGGAGGAGCACGAAGGUUGGCUAAUCCUGGUCGGACAUCAGGAGGUUAGUGCAAUGGCAUAAGCCAGCUUGACUGCGAGCGUGACGGCGCGAGCAGGUGCGAAAGCAGGUCAUAGUGAUCCGGUGGUUCUGAAUGGAAGGGCCAUCGCUCAACGGAUAAAAGGUACUCCGGGGAUAACAGGCUGAUACCGCCCAAGAGUUCAUAUCGACGGCGGUGUUUGGCACCUCGAUGUCGGCUCAUCACAUCCUGGGGCUGAAGUAGGUCCCAAGGGUAUGGCUGUUCGCCAUUUAAAGUGGUACGCGAGCUGGGUUUAGAACGUCGUGAGACAGUUCGGUCCCUAUCUGCCGUGGGCGCUGGAGAACUGAGGGGGGCUGCUCCUAGUACGAGAGGACCGGAGUGGACGCAUCACUGGUGUUCGGGUUGUCAUGCCAAUGGCACUGCCCGGUAGCUAAAUGCGGAAGAGAUAAGUGCUGAAAGCAUCUAAGCACGAAACUUGCCCCGAGAUGAGUUCUCCCUGAGACUUAAAGUCUCCUGAAGGAACGUUGAAGACGACGACGUUGAUAGGCCGGGUGUGUAAGCGCAGCGAUGCGUUGAGCUAACCGGUACUAAUGAACCGUGAGGCUUAACCUU